This 174-nucleotide ribosomal RNA is filed under the name Staphylococcus nepalensis. Its description in RNAcentral is "partial 16S ribosomal RNA". It matches the Rfam family "Bacterial small subunit ribosomal RNA", at positions 1 to 169 of the family's 1533-position model. RNAcentral also lists the same sequence under 1 other name. Lineage: Bacteria; Bacillati; Bacillota; Bacilli; Caryophanales; Staphylococcaceae. The record is from RNAcentral.
UUUAUGGAGAGUUUGAUCCUGGCUCAGGAUGAACGCUGGCGGCGUGCCUAAUACAUGCAAGUCGAGCGAACAGAUAAGGAGCUUGCUCCUUUGACGUUAGCGGCGGACGGGUGAGUAACACGUGGGUAACCUACCUAUAAGACUGGAAUAACUCCGGGAAACCGGGGCUAAUGC